AGGGUUAUAUUUAAUUAUAAUAUUUGAAUUGCACUCAAAAGGUAUCCGAGAGAUUAAUCUUU
This 62-nucleotide transfer RNA is filed under the name Nesophrosyne sp. 48 GMB-2012. Its description in RNAcentral is "tRNA-Ala". Lineage: Eukaryota; Metazoa; Arthropoda; Insecta; Hemiptera; Cicadellidae. The record is from RNAcentral.